This 931-nucleotide ribosomal RNA is filed under the name uncultured bacterium. Its description in RNAcentral is "bacterial SSU rRNA". It matches the Rfam family "Bacterial small subunit ribosomal RNA", at positions 50 to 997 of the family's 1533-position model. The record is from RNAcentral.
UAUCCUGCAGUCGAACGGAAGGCCCUUCGGGGUGCUCGAGUGGCGAACGGGUGAGUAACACGUGGGUGAUCUGCCCUGCACUUUGGGAUAAGCCUGGGAAACUGGGUCUAAUACCGAAUAUACCCUGCUGGUCGCAUGGCCUGGUGGGGGAAAGCUUUUGCGGUGUGGGAUGGGCCCGCGGCCUAUCAGCUUGUUGGUGGGGUGAUGGCCUACCAAGGCGACGACGGGUAGCCGGCCUGAGAGGGUGACCGGCCACACUGGGACUGAGAUACGGCCCAGACUCCUACGGGAGGCAGCAGUGGGGAAUAUUGCACAAUGGGCGCAAGCCUGAUGCAGCGACGCCGCGUGAGGGAUGACGGCCUUCGGGUUGUAAACCUCUUUCAGCACAGACGAAGCGUGAGUGACGGUAUGUGCAGAAGAAGGACCGGCCAACUACGUGCCAGCAGCCGCGGUAAUACGUAGGGUCCGAGCGUUGUCCGGAAUUACUGGGCGUAAAGAGCUCGUAGGUGGUUUGUCGCGUUGUUCGUGAAAACUCACAGCUUAACUGUGGGCGUGCGGGCGAUACGGGCAGACUAGAGUACUGCAGGGGAGACUGGAAUUCCUGGUGUAGCGGUGGAAUGCGCAGAUAUCAGGAGGAACACCGGUGGCGAAGGCGGGUCUCUGGGCAGUAACUGACGCUGAGGAGCGAAAGCGUGGGGAGCGAACAGGAUUAGAUACCCUGGUAGUCCACGCCGUAAACGGUGGGUACUAGGUGUGGGUUUCCUUCCUUGGGAUCCGUGCCGUAGCUAACGCAUUAAGUACCCCGCCUGGGGAGUACGGCCGCAAGGCUAAAACUCAAAGGAAUUGACGGGGGCCCGCACAAGCGGCGGAGCAUGUGGAUUAAUUCGAUGCAACGCGAAGAACCUUACCUGGGUUUGACAUGCACAGGACG